GCGGGCGUAGCUCAGUUGGUAGAGCACCAGCCUUCCAAGUUGGAUGUCGCGGGUCCGAGCCCCGUCGCCCGCU
Molecule: transfer RNA, 73 nt
Filed under: Deferribacteraceae bacterium
Lineage: Bacteria; Pseudomonadati; Deferribacterota; Deferribacteres; Deferribacterales; Deferribacteraceae
Description: tRNA-Gly
Rfam family: tRNA
About the family: Transfer RNA (tRNA) molecules are approximately 80 nucleotides in length.
Source: RNAcentral